CUCCUACUUUUUCUCUCCGUUCCUUUUACAUUUUUUGACCACUUUUCGUUGUGCAGCAGUGAUUUCAUGAUGUGUAAUUUUGGAAAAUUGUCUUCAAAUUAUAAUAAUCUAUGAACUUAAAUGUGCAACAAACUAUUGCAGAAUGAGGCGGUAUUGAGGGCUUGCGCUGAAUCAGAAGCACCAAAAACAUCGGCGACGAGUGCUUCUGCAGUUGAAGGUAGUGCAUGAUGAUUCUUGGGACAAGAAAGACAAUGAACUGCAAGCUCCUCUUUUUGUUUCUAAGCUGACCUUUUUUUCCGAAAAAAUUUUCGGCGUGGAAAGAUGCUUAAGAGAAUCAUUACUCCAGAUCACAACUGGCACAACUUAGGAACUAUUCGUUACUUAUGAAAAGAGUCUCCAUAUAACUGGAAGCACAAGAUAAAUGUAGACGGUAAAGGUAAAGUUGUCUGAUGGAACCCACUACAAUUCCAUUAGCUCUGUUCAAUGACUUGUCCUAACUAUAAGUGGCGAUUCAAGGUGCAGUGUUGUUUGAUGAUGCAUUUUUUAAGUAGAAAAAU
Molecule: long non-coding RNA, 557 nt
Organism: Ananas comosus (pineapple)
Lineage: Eukaryota; Viridiplantae; Streptophyta; Magnoliopsida; Poales; Bromeliaceae
Exons: 2
Source: RefSeq, a predicted model, not a curated record